AUUCCUACGGGAGGCAGCAGGGGGGAAUAUUGCACAAUGGGGGAAACCCUGAUGCAGCCAUGCCGCGUGUGUGAAGAAGGCCUUCGGGUUGUAAAGCACUUUCAGCGAGGAGGAAAGGUUGGUAGCUAAUAACUGCCAGCUGUGACGUUACUCGCAGAAGAAGCACCGGCUAACUCCGUGCCAGCAGCCGCGGUAAUAAU
Molecule: ribosomal RNA, 200 nt
Filed under: uncultured bacterium
Lineage: Bacteria
Description: partial 16S ribosomal RNA
Rfam family: Bacterial small subunit ribosomal RNA
Source: RNAcentral